UCCGUAGGUGAACCUGCGGAAGGAUCAUUGUCGAAACCUGCC
This 42-nucleotide ribosomal RNA is filed under the name Bergia texana. RNAcentral describes it as "partial 18S ribosomal RNA". The record is from RNAcentral. RNAcentral also lists the same sequence under 3 other names. Lineage: Eukaryota; Viridiplantae; Streptophyta; Magnoliopsida; Malpighiales; Elatinaceae.